Saccostrea cuccullata (small rock oyster) is the source of this 1406-nucleotide long non-coding RNA. RefSeq lists it as uncharacterized. The record is from RefSeq and is a predicted model, not a curated record. The transcript has 3 exons. Lineage: Eukaryota; Metazoa; Mollusca; Bivalvia; Ostreida; Ostreidae.
GGUGUAGAGGUUCAAGAGCACCACUGACAUGAGACCAAUCACUGCAAAUGUCAGGUAUCUGAAGCCCACAUAAGGUGAUUUACAGCAACAGAAAACUAAGGAUAGGUACUUUAUUUUGCUGAAAUAGAAUAAAACCCUCAAGCUAGGUGAGUACUUUUGUUUCAUUUCUCAGUAGUUAUUAAACCAUCACUAACAUAGACUAACUUCCUCUUGCACACACCUUCCCUUCCCUCAAAACCUUGUGAUAUUUCUUGUUUUAAUUGUUUGGUCUGUUCAUUAAGCAUAAGUAAUUUUUCUACUGGACAGCAUGCGAUUUUUGUACAGCUGGAGGAGAGACGAGAUGAUGUAGAUGAAUAAUGAAGACAAGCCAUCAACAGGAAGAUAAUCCAUACAUCAAGAGCCUUAGACCUGAGUUACAACUUGUGUAUAUUUUGAGGUAACAAUGUUAAAAGAUGGCCACAAGUCAGGUGAGAACUUUACUGUAUUUCUUAAUGAAUUCAAAAGCAUUUCCUUCAGGAAUUCCUCCCAAUCAUAUGGAUAAAGCUAACAUAUUGUACUAACCCCCUCUUGCACACCUCCUCUCCCUUCAUGCUUGUAUGUUUUGUUGAAUAUUUAUGACUGUUUACUAAUCAUAUGUUGAUUUUUGUCGGGCAGAAGGCAGUUGAUGCCUAACAAGUUUGGAAGUUGGACAUGACUGAUAGAAAGAAGACAAACCAUCAACAACAAAAUGAACUGUGCAUCUAGAGCCUUGUUGUAAUGAGACAACUAACCAGCAUGCAGUUGCUACCCAACAGGAAGAGAGAAGAUGACUGGAAGAGAAGAGACAAGCCAUCACCAGGAAGGUUAAUCCCAGACAUCAAGAAUCUCAGAUGAAGGAUGGGUACCUGUAUUUAUUUUGAGGUAACACAGUAAAAAAAAAAGUGGCCCUAAUUCAGGUGAGGACUUGACAGUUUUUUAUUGAAUCAACAUUAUUUCAAUCAGGAAUUCCUCCCAAUCAUAUGGAUAAAGCUAACUUGAUACUAACCCCCUCUUGCACACCCUCCCCUCCCUUCAUGCCUGUUCUGUUUUGUUGAAUAUUUAUGACUGUUUACUAAUCAUAUGUUGAUUUUUGUUGGGCAGCAAGCAGUUGAUGUCUAACAAGAAAGAAGAAGAGGGACAUGAUUGAUAGAAAAAAGACAAACCAUCAACAACAAAAUGAACUGUGCAUCUAGAGCCUUGUUGUAAUGAGACAACUAACCAGGACAGCAUGCAGUUGCUACCCAACAGGAAGAGAGAAGAUGACUGGAAGAGAAGAGACAAGCCAUCACCAGGAAGGUUUAUCCCAGACAUCAAGAAUCUCAGACACAGGACGGGUACCUGUAUUUAUUCUGAGGUAACACUGUAAAAAGAAUGUGGCCCUAAUUCAG